UACGUAGGGUGCGAGCGUUAAUCGGAAUUACUGGGCGUAAAGCGUGCGCAGGCGGUUCGCUGUGUCCGAUGUGAAAGCCCCGGGCUUAACCUGGGAAUGGCAUUGGAAACUGGCGGGCUUGAGUGCGGCAGAGGGGGGUGGAAUUCCGCGUGUAGCAGUGAAAUGCGUAGAGAUGCGGAGGAACACCGAUGGCGAAGGCGGCAUCCUGGACCAAUACUGACACUGAGGAGCGAAAGCCAGGGGAGCAAACGGG
Molecule: ribosomal RNA, 253 nt
Filed under: uncultured bacterium
Lineage: Bacteria
Description: partial 16S ribosomal RNA
Rfam family: Bacterial small subunit ribosomal RNA
Source: RNAcentral